AUUGAACGCUGGCGGCAGGCCUAAUACAUGCAAGUCGAGCGGAUGAAGGGAGCUUGCUCCUGGCUUCAGCGGCGGACGGGCGAGUAAUGCCUAGGAAUCUGCCUGGUAGAGGGGGAUAACGUCCGGAAACGGGCGCUAAUACCGCAUACGUCCUGAGGGAGAAAGUGGUGGAUCUUCGGACCUCACGCUAUCAGCUGAGCCUAGGUCGGAUUAGCUAGUUGGUGGGGUAAAGGCCUACCAAGGCGACGAUCCGUAACUGGUCUGAGAGGAUGAUCAGUCACACUGGAACUGAGACACGGUCCAGACUCCUACGGGAGGCAGCAGUGGGGAAUAUUGGACAAUGGGCGAAAGCCUGAUCCAGCCAUGCCGCGUGUGUGAAGAAGGUCUUCGGAUUGUAAAGCACUUUAAGUUGGGAGGAAGAGCAGUAAGUUAAUACCUUGAUGUUUUGACGUUACCAACAGAAUAAGCACCGGCUAACUUCGUG
This 484-nucleotide ribosomal RNA is filed under the name uncultured bacterium. Its description in RNAcentral is "partial 16S ribosomal RNA". It matches the Rfam family "Bacterial small subunit ribosomal RNA", at positions 30 to 507 of the family's 1533-position model. The record is from RNAcentral.